Molecule: transfer RNA, 75 nt
Filed under: Rhizobacter gummiphilus
Lineage: Bacteria; Pseudomonadati; Pseudomonadota; Betaproteobacteria; Burkholderiales; Sphaerotilaceae
Description: tRNA-Glu
Rfam family: tRNA
About the family: Transfer RNA (tRNA) molecules are approximately 80 nucleotides in length. Their secondary structure includes four short double-helical elements and three loops (D, anti-codon, and T loops). Further hydrogen bonds mediate the characteristic L-shaped molecular structure. tRNAs have two regions of fundamental functional importance: the anti-codon, which is responsible for specific mRNA codon recognition, and the 3' end, to which the tRNAs corresponding amino acid is attached (by aminoacyl-tRNA synthetases). tRNAs cope with the degeneracy of the genetic code in two manners: having more than one tRNA (with a specific anti-codon) for a particular amino acid; and 'wobble' base-pairing, i.e. permitting non-standard base-pairing at the 3rd anti-codon position.
Source: RNAcentral
GUCGCGUUCGUCUAACGGUCAGGACGCUGGGCUUUCAAUCCGGCAAUGCGGGUUCGACUCCCGCACGCGAUACCA